AACGAACGCUGGCGGCGCGCCUAACACAUGCAAGUCGAGCGAUUGAACCCUUCGGGGGGAUUUAGCGGCGGACGGGUGAGUAAGGCAUAGAUAAUCUGCUUCAAAGAGGGGACAACCGGUCGAAAGGCUGGCUAAUACCGCAUAAGCUGUCCGGGUGAAUGCCGGCCAGUAAAGGCUUCGGUCGCUUUGAAAUGAGUCUA
This 200-nucleotide ribosomal RNA is filed under the name uncultured bacterium. RNAcentral's name for it is "partial 16S ribosomal RNA". It matches the Rfam family "Bacterial small subunit ribosomal RNA", at positions 29 to 233 of the family's 1533-position model. The record is from RNAcentral.